CAGGGAGAGUGGCCCUCAUCCAAAGCCUGAAAGCGGACACACUGUGCUCCCACUCUGAAAUCUCUCGAGCCACAAAGGCAAAAUUUCACACCAAGAAACUUCAUUUCAUGCACAAAAUUACUAAAAAUAUUAUGUGGAAUUACCUCCGGCUUAGGUGCAUGAGACCUACAGAAAACACACACCGGUUUCGUGUUCAGACCUGCUUCCCACCUCAAGAUCUCCCAUCAGGCGAAGGCUGACACAGUCCAGAGCUCCCCUUCCUAUUUCUCCCAGGAGCCUCACACACUCCCGGGGCACACUAAGCUCACAGAUCUCCAACAGGGCCUUCCUGACUGGUCCCCAACACACACACACACUUCAACCACAAAAAGGGGAAAGCUGGACAAAGCCAGGAAAGCCCCUCUCCAACAGAGCGGCUGAGGAAUUUGUUUCUUGAAGCAUCUCCCCAUGAUCACUCGCUGUAAAGGAAGAGAAAUCUGAAAAUCAUGGCUUUUCCCUGAUGAAUUCAGCAACAGCUCAUUGUCGGGGGGGGGGUGCGCAAAAGUCAGUGAGUUGGCUGGAAACCAUGACUGCUCAGUAACAGCCGGCCCACGCCCGACCCACACACUGGGGAAGCCCUGUGCUUACCAGCAGCAUACAAAGGACUGGCUUCCUCGAAAAAAGGAAAAGGAAAAAGUAGCCAGCAUAUUUUCAGGGAAUGGAGAAGGAAGAGGUAAAGCAGAGACCAGAGCUAUCUGGACUGCAGACUGGCUGGCUUUCCCGGGCGCACAGAGCUAUCAGGAAAGGAAGUGAAGAAGUGACCCUGCAGCUGCUGAAGUGGGGAGGGCACUGGCCACGAGGGCUGGCUCUGUCUGUGCUCCUCAAAGUCGGAAAUGAGAAAUCAGGA
This 886-nucleotide long non-coding RNA is filed under the name Heterocephalus glaber (naked mole-rat). Its description in RNAcentral is "lncRNA (ENSHGLG00000049585.1)". The record is from RNAcentral. Lineage: Eukaryota; Metazoa; Chordata; Mammalia; Rodentia; Bathyergidae.